This 326-nucleotide long non-coding RNA is filed under the name Pan troglodytes (chimpanzee). RNAcentral describes it as "long non-coding RNA NONPTRT000765". The record is from RNAcentral. Lineage: Eukaryota; Metazoa; Chordata; Mammalia; Primates; Hominidae.
GUCUCCAACCACAGGGCCACAGAGCUGGAGCUGGAUCUACCAUGAAGGACUUCUGAAUCCAGGAAGAGAGACUGACUGGGCAACAUGUUAUUCAGGGUCUCCCUCUGUUGUCCAAGGCUGGAGUGUAGUAGUGCUAUCGCAGCUGACUGCAGCCUCAACCUUCCAGGCUGAAGCGAUCCUCCUACCUCAACCUCCCACGUGGCUGAGACUACAGGUGCUUGACACUAUGCCCAACUAAUAUUUGGAAUUUUCGUAUACGUGGAUUCCAGAGGGGUGACAGUGUAACGUGGGACCAUCCAGUUUCAGGAAAACAAGCUUAACACGCC